CGCGGCCUAUCAGCUUGUUGGUGAGGUAACGGCUCACCAAGGCGUCGACGGGUAGCUGGUCUGAGAGGAUGAUCAGCCACACUGGGACUGAGAUACGGCCCAGACUCCUACGGGAGGCAGCAGUGGGGAAUCUUGCGCAAUGGGCGAAAGCCUGACGCAGCAACGCCGCGUGCGGGAAGAAGGCCCUCGGGUUGUAAACCGCUUUCAGUAGGAACGAAAAUGACGGUACCUGCAGAAGAAGGUGCGGCCAACUACGUGCCAGCAGCCGCGGUGACACGUAGGCACCAAGCGUUGUCCGGAUUUAUUGGGCGUAAAGAGCUCGUAGGCGGUUCGGUAGGUCGGGUGUGAAAACUUUGGGCUUAACCCAAAGCCUGCAUCCGAUACUGCUGUGACUAGAGUUCGGUAGGGGAGCGGGGAAUUCCUAGUGUAGCGGUGAAAUGCGCAGAUAUUAGGAGGAACACCGGUGGCGAAGGCGCCGCUCUGGGCCGAUACUGACGCUGAGGAGCGAAAGCGUGGGUAGCAAACAGGAUUAGAUACCCUGGUAGUCCACGCCGUAAACGUUGGGCACUAGGUGUGGGUCUCAACCAACGAGAUCCGCGCCGUCGCUAACGCAUUAAGUGCCCCGCCUGGGGAGUAC
RNAcentral lists this ribosomal RNA (637 nucleotides) under uncultured bacterium. Its description in RNAcentral is "bacterial SSU rRNA". It matches the Rfam family "Bacterial small subunit ribosomal RNA", at positions 232 to 883 of the family's 1533-position model. The record is from RNAcentral.